GUUUAAUAUUUGGAAAAAGUGGCACCAAACAUCUGUCUGCUGUCACCGUGUGGCAACACUAAUGGUGCCGGGCGUCAGGAUUAGUGCAGAGGCAAAAGGCGUGAGAGAGAGAGAGAGAGAGAGAGAGCGAGAGAGAGAGAGAUGGCCGUAGGGAAAUAGAACAAAAUGAGAGAAGACAAGAGGAGAGACGGAGAAAUGACCAGAGAAAACAUGUGGGUCACUUCAUCGCUGUCCGAAAGGUUCUCAUUCAUCCUCCCCCUCUUUUACCACAUGGCCCCUGAAGGCAAACUUCAGCUGUGUAGAAAGACAGCAUCGCCUCUGUCAGGACAAGAGCAGAAGUGACUGCGAGAGCUGUUGCUGCAGACAGAAUGUGUGUGUGUUUAAAACCUACAGGGAUCCAGUCAAACCUGACAUGUUUUAUGUGCUUCAAAACCUGAGCUAAACUUGUCCCUGGCACAACACGCAAUCUUCUCUCAAACCACUACACCACCAUGCAGCCCAAAACUGCCUCCUAACUGCUUCUUCCCAGGGAAUCUUUGGGUGGAUAAUGUUGAGCCUGGCUUAGCCCUGCUCGCAUGCACAAGCACAUGCACACGAGCACAUAUAUAUACAUAUAUGAACCUGCACAUACACCACUAGUCCUGUGUUAUCAGUGCCUUCAGUGAGAGAAACACCUCCUUAAUCAUUUCAUAAGAUCAUUUGCCUGGCAGAUAUGCCUCAGGCUUUUCCCAUUACCCCUGGCUGCCUUGACCUAGAUAUGUGUGUGUGUGUG
Gasterosteus aculeatus aculeatus (three-spined stickleback) is the source of this 772-nucleotide long non-coding RNA. Lineage: Eukaryota; Metazoa; Chordata; Actinopteri; Perciformes; Gasterosteidae. The record is from Ensembl.